This 442-nucleotide ribosomal RNA is filed under the name uncultured bacterium. RNAcentral describes it as "partial 16S ribosomal RNA". It matches the Rfam family "Bacterial small subunit ribosomal RNA", at positions 338 to 795 of the family's 1533-position model. The record is from RNAcentral.
CCUACGGGAGGCAGCAGUAGGGAAUCUUUCACAAUGGGCGAAAGCCUGAUGGAGCAACGCCGCGUGCAGGAUGAAGGCCUUCGGGUUGUAAACUGCUUUUAUCAGCGAGAAAUAUGAUGGUAACUUAUGAAUAAGGAUCGGCUAACUACGUGCCAGCAGCCGCGGUCAUACGUAGGAUCCGAGCAUUAUCCGGAGUGACUGGGUGUAAAGAGUUGCGUAGGUGGCAUAAUAAGUAGCUAGUGAAAUCUGGUGGCUCAACCAUUCAGACUAUUAGCUAAACUGUUAAGCUCGAGACCGUUAGGAGUAACUGGAAUUUCUAGUGUAGGAGUGAAAUCCGUAGAUAUUAGAAGGAACACCAAUAGCGUAGGCAGGUUGCUGGGACGGUUCUGACACUAAGGCACGAAAGUGUAGGGAGCAAACGGGAUUAGAUACCCGGGUAGUC